GAUGAACGCUGGCGGCGUGCCUAAUACAUGCAAGUCGAGCGAACAGACGAGGAGCUUGCUCCUCUGACGUUAGCGGCGGACGGGUGAGUAACACGUGGAUAACCUACCUAUAAGACUGGGAUAACUUCGGGAAACCGGCGCUAAUACCGGAUAAUAUAUUGAACCGCAUGGUUCAAUAGUGAAAGACGGUUUUGCUGUCACUUAUAGAUGGAUCCGCGCCGCAUUAGCUAGUUGGUAAGGUAACGGCUUACCAAGGCGACGAUGCGUAGCCGACCUGAGAGGGUGAUCGGCCACACUGGAACUGAGACACGGUCCAGACGCCUACGGGAGGCAGCAGUAGGGAAUCUGCCGCAAUGGGCGAAAGCCUGACGGAGCAACGCCGCGUGAGUGAUGAAGGUCUUCGGAUCGUAAAACUCUGUUAUUAGGGAAGAACAAAUGUGUAAGUAACUAUGCACGUCUUGACGGUACCUAAUCAGAAAGCCACGGCUAACUACGUG
This 497-nucleotide ribosomal RNA is filed under the name uncultured bacterium. Its description in RNAcentral is "partial 16S ribosomal RNA". It matches the Rfam family "Bacterial small subunit ribosomal RNA", at positions 28 to 507 of the family's 1533-position model. The record is from RNAcentral.